UGAUAAUGCAGGGAGGAGUGUCAGCUGUUAUUAAAGUCAGUGUUUGUAGUCCAUCAGUGAGGAAGAGGAGGGUGAAGGAGGAAGGAGAGAGCACAGCUUCCUUUGACCGAGAAGGGUCUGGCUGGAGCCACUGUGGAGCACCAUAUUGUGACCUCCACAGUAACCGGAUACACGUGACCUCCACAGUAGCUGGAAACACGUAACCUGCAUGAAUACAGUGGAAACCUUGCAAGUGGAUCGUAAAGGUUGGGACAGACUCUUUCAUAUGUACAUAUGCCAUGCACAUAUCAAUUUGGAAUUCUGCCUCAAAGCCAGAAUUGCACCACGUGUUGCAGAAGACUCUUUCACUGCCCUCUGUGCCCCACUUUCAGCCCUACUGUCAGGUCAAAGAUUGAGGAGCAUAUAAAUGGACACAUUAAAAAAGCUUUGCCUUUCAAAGCAACACCGCAGGAGAAAUGCCAGCACAGGCAUCCAGUAUCCGUAGUUUCAGGUGCUGCACAUCUCGUAUCUUCACACCAUAGACAAUUGCCUUCAGAUGACCCCAAAGAUAAAAGUCUAAGGGGUCAGAUCGGGAGACCUUGGGGGCCAUUCAACUGGCCCACGACAACCAAUCCACUUUCCAGGAAACUGUUCAUCUAGGAAUGCUCGGACCUGGCACCCAUAAUGUGGUGGUGCACCAUCCUGCUGGAAAAACUCAGGGAACGUGCCAGCUUCAGUGCAUAAAGAGGGAAACACAUCAUCAUGUAGCAAUUUCAAAUAUCCAGUGGCCUUGAGGUUUCCAUUGAUGAAGAAUGGACCCACUAUCGUUGUACCCCAUAUACCACACCAAACCAUCACUUUUGUUUUUCCAACAGUCUUGGAGGGAUGGAAAGUCCAUGAAAAUGAAAUGCCCUCAUUGUGAUCUCAGUCUUCUUUAAAAAAAACUUCAAGGCUCACAUGAUGAGAAGGCAUUCAAACAGAUCAAUAGAUGUUUGCCUGGCCUGUCAUCUGCACUGUGUUUGUGUACAGGGACUUCCUACUCUUUCUUUUUCAGUUUGCAGAGGACAUGGAGCUCUUUUUAAAAGCAUGUGCUGACAAGCAGGGACAUUUAAUGGACAGAUGAAGGCACUGGCUGUUUGUUUUUUGUUUUUUUUAUGUGUUGUUGGGGAUUUUUUU
This is a long non-coding RNA of Oreochromis aureus, 1155 nucleotides long. The record is from Ensembl. NCBI's taxonomy places the organism in Eukaryota, Metazoa, Chordata, Actinopteri, Cichliformes, Cichlidae.